Gossypium raimondii (Peruvian cotton) is the source of this 1242-nucleotide long non-coding RNA. RefSeq lists it as uncharacterized. Lineage: Eukaryota; Viridiplantae; Streptophyta; Magnoliopsida; Malvales; Malvaceae. The transcript is spliced from 4 exons. The record is from RefSeq and is a predicted model, not a curated record.
UAUGUCUUCUCUUUUUUCCAUUAUUUCAUUUUCAGUUUGACGAUUUCUUCUUUCAAAACUUUUCCUUCUAAAUCGUUUCACUUUCUUUUUGUUUUGAAGCUUUCUUCCUUCCUUUCUUCAUCUCCUGGCGCUUUCUAAUUUGGUUCACGCAACCGAUCAUAUCUUCUUUGAUCUUUGGCAUACUCAGGAACCUCCAUUUCCAGAUGACUGACUGCCAUCCCCUAUCAACUCCUAUUUGAAUCGCUCUCCAGCAAGCUAUUGCUUCCGCCGCAAAUGCAGAGGGCACUCUCGAAAUAGGUGGUCCAUUGUUUCAGCUCUUGCUUCACAUCGGGGGCAGCUUGUACUAGUUGAUAGCUUCCUGUGUUGUAAAUUCACUUUUGUAGGCAAAAAGUUCCAUGAUAUUCUCCAUAUUGUAAUUUUUAUUUUUGUUGGUAGAUUCAGGCCCCAAAGUUUUUUGUAAAAUUUCCUAUAGAUAAAUUGUAACGCAUAAGCGCUAGGAUUUUUAUCUGAGCUCUGUAAUAGUUUAUAGGCACUUCGGACUGUGAACUCACCCAACAAUUCACCUCCCCAAAUGAGGAAAUCCUCAUGAGGCGUUCGUGCCAGAGGGAUUCGAAGGAUUCUUACAGCGUCUUCUCCUGUGAAGGUUAGGGUGUUACAACUAGAGAUCCACUUGACGACUCCCAUGAUUUCCUAAUCUUUUCUUCAAUCGACUCCUCUGCAGUCCACCAUGCCUCAAAUUUAAAUCUUGGAGUUCCUUUGAUACUAUCAGCAUUGGUUGUGCUAAUGAAAAGAGGGCAAUGAUCAGAAAGUGAAGACGUUAAGUGAUGUAUAUUGCCUCUUGGGAAAAGUUUCAUCCAUUUUUCAUUUGCAACACCCCUAUCCAGUCUUUCUCUAAUAUUUGUACUUGGUAGAUUCCCUCUCUCCCACGUAUACCAUACUCUCGUAUAACCCACAUCAAUAAGUUGACAUUCUUCUAGUACUUCGCAGAAUGCUUCCAUCCUUUUCUCCUCCCUCGGCUGACCUCCCUUUUUUUUUCAAAAGAAUACAUUAUUUCAUUAAAAUCGCCACAAACUAGCCAAGGAUAGUAUUGUUCCUUCCCCAAGGUUCUUAAUAAAUUCCAUGAAGUAGUUUUAUUAUGUAUGUAAGGUGACCCAUAAAACCCUGUGAAUCUCUAUUCUGUAUUACCGUCAUCUUCUUUGAUCAAUGCAUCAAUAUGACUAGUUGAAAAAGUUUUAAGACUAA